GGACUACUAGGGUAUCUAAUCCUGUUUGAUCCCCACGCUUUCGCGCCUCAGCGUCAGUAUUUGUCCAGGUAGCCGCCUUCGCCACUGGUGUUCCUUCCGAUCUCUACGCAUUUCACCGCUACACCGGAAAUUCCACUACCCUCUACAAUACUCCAGUCGAACAGUUUAAGAUGACCUGCCUAGGUUAAGCCCAGGGAUUUUACAUCUCACUUAUUCAACCGCCUACGCGCCCUUUACGCCCAGUAACUCCGAUUAACGCUUGCACCCUCUGUAUUACCGCGGCUGCUGGCAC
This 292-nucleotide ribosomal RNA is filed under the name uncultured bacterium. Its description in RNAcentral is "partial 16S ribosomal RNA". The record is from RNAcentral.